RNAcentral lists this unclassified non-coding RNA (473 nucleotides) under Hevea brasiliensis (rubber tree). The record is from RNAcentral. Lineage: Eukaryota; Viridiplantae; Streptophyta; Magnoliopsida; Malpighiales; Euphorbiaceae.
CGGCGGCAAUACCUGGAAACAAAUUGAGCAAAGACAAAAAAGUAAUUAAAAAAAUAGUAUUAAAGUAUGAAGAUGAGUCUUCUGCCAAAUAACUAAGAGAUUAGAAGAGCAUAAAUGCAUUCAUUAUUGUUAGCUCCCAAAGAGAGUUUACUUGAUCCAUUUGUGAUCACAAUUAACAUAUAAAAAUUUGUCUGAACUUAAUUAAACAUGUACACCAGCAGCCCAACUGCUAAUGAAGUCAACAUGAGCUUGAUAAUCAAAAUUAUUCUUAGCUUGACAAUAGAUGCUGCCUGCCUCAUCUUAGAUGGCUCUCCAUCAUUCUAUACUCAUUCCAUGCAUCAUAUUUGACAACAUUCUUCAUUAUUUUCAAAUUAUUCAUAUUCAACAAAUUUUCCAUGACAAACGAAAUGGAACUUCCUAUAAAAUUAAGCUCAUGAAAACACCAGCCUUACCCUCCAAAAUACUUUUGCCUG